CGAGCGCAACCCUUAUCUUUAGUUGCCAUCAUUUAGUUGGGGCCUCUAAAGAGACUGCCGGUGACAAACCGGAGGAAGGUGGGGACGACGUCAAGUCAUCAUGGCCCUUACGGGAUGGGCUACACACGUGCUACAAUGGCCGGUACAGAGGGCUGCAAAGUCGCGAGGGUGAGCUAAUCUCAAAAAGCCGGUCGUAGUCCGGAUUGGAGUCUGCAACUCGACNCCANGAAGUCGGAAUCGCUAGUAUUCUCAGAUCAGAAUGCUGCGGUGAAUACGUUCCCGGGCCUUGUACACACCNCCCCUCUCA
This 307-nucleotide ribosomal RNA is filed under the name uncultured bacterium. RNAcentral describes it as "bacterial SSU rRNA". It matches the Rfam family "Bacterial small subunit ribosomal RNA", at positions 1093 to 1401 of the family's 1533-position model. The record is from RNAcentral.